GACCCUAUGGUGUAGUCGGUAACACUGCAGACUCUGAAUCUGCCACCCUGAGUUCGAGUCUCAGUAUGGUCA
Molecule: transfer RNA, 72 nt
Organism: Ectocarpus siliculosus
Lineage: Eukaryota; Phaeophyceae; Ectocarpales; Ectocarpaceae
Rfam family: tRNA
About the family: Transfer RNA (tRNA) molecules are approximately 80 nucleotides in length. Their secondary structure includes four short double-helical elements and three loops (D, anti-codon, and T loops). Further hydrogen bonds mediate the characteristic L-shaped molecular structure. tRNAs have two regions of fundamental functional importance: the anti-codon, which is responsible for specific mRNA codon recognition, and the 3' end, to which the tRNAs corresponding amino acid is attached (by aminoacyl-tRNA synthetases). tRNAs cope with the degeneracy of the genetic code in two manners: having more than one tRNA (with a specific anti-codon) for a particular amino acid; and 'wobble' base-pairing, i.e. permitting non-standard base-pairing at the 3rd anti-codon position.
Source: Rfam